Molecule: small RNA, 113 nt
Filed under: Marmota monax (woodchuck)
Lineage: Eukaryota; Metazoa; Chordata; Mammalia; Rodentia; Sciuridae
Source: RNAcentral
GCCAUGUGCUGUGGUGGGUGCCUAUAGUCCCAGCUUCCCUGGAGGCCAAGUGGGAGGACCACUCGAGCCCAGGAGUCCAGGUCCAGCCUGGGCAACAUAGUGAGAACUCAUCU